AACGCACCUUGCGCUCCUUGGUAUUCCGAGGAGCAUGCCUGUUUGAGUGUCAUUAAAUUCUCAAUCUUUACAACUUUGUGUUGUCCAGAUUGGAUUUGGGGGUUUCAUUGUGCGGAAUUCAAUUCCUCACUCCCCUUAAAUGCAUUAGCUGGAAUGCCUCCGCAUAUCUGACUAUCAGUGUGAUAAUUAUCUAUACUGUAGUUGUUGCAUGAGGGUAUCUGCUUCAUCAAUCGUCGCAAGACAAAUGACCAUCUUGACCUCAAAUCAGGUAGGACUACCCGCUGAACUUAA
This 291-nucleotide unclassified non-coding RNA is filed under the name uncultured Conocybe. Its description in RNAcentral is "sequence contains ITS2". The stretch from base 1 to 52 matches the Rfam family "5.8S ribosomal RNA", at positions 103 to 154 of the family's 154-position model. Lineage: Eukaryota; Fungi; Basidiomycota; Agaricomycetes; Agaricales; Bolbitiaceae. The record is from RNAcentral.